This 1634-nucleotide long non-coding RNA is filed under the name Sus scrofa (pig). RNAcentral's name for it is "lncRNA (ENSSSCG00065046641.1)". The record is from RNAcentral. Lineage: Eukaryota; Metazoa; Chordata; Mammalia; Artiodactyla; Suidae.
ACGGCCAGUGGAGGCGGUGGAGGCGGCUGUCUGCUGAGACGCAGGAGCCCUGGCCCACAGAACACCGAAGUGUACACAGAACCACAGAAAGCAGCAAACAGAAUCAGCGUUGAUAAAUAAAUAACUGGCUGGAAAACAGGUUUCAGGUAAACCCCACAGGACGGGAAAAAUUGGGGAGCCUGAGAGUCUCGCUCAGAAUGGACUAGGUUACACCGCUCUGAUGCCCACCCCUCCUUGGUCAUUAACAUUUAUUUCUCACUCACUCCACCUGUCUAUCGUGAGUUGAUGGACGCUUUCCUCCAGGUGGCCCUGAUUCAGGGACCCGGGCCGAUGAAGUCUCCUCUGCCUGGAAUGCCACUGGCCACCUUGAAGGAUGGCAUUUUGUGCUUGGGUCCCUGAAGGCUCCCGCCUGGUGGAUACCUCCCCUCACAUUUCAUGGGUCAAAGUGCCAGGACGGGGAAGAAUGGGGCCUGUUGGUGCCCAGUACUGAUGAACACUGAGAAUCUCAGCUUCUAGUCCUGGAUCCACUCUGCAGACCUGGACCAGUCAUUUUCCCUCUCUGAGCCUCAGUUUUCCCUGUCUGUAAAAAGCGAUGGGAGUUCCCAUUGUGAUUCAGCGGUUAACGAACCCAACUAACAUCCAUGAAGACGUGGGUUCGAUCCCUAGCCUCGCUCAGUGGGUUAAAGCAGCGAGCUGUGGUGUGGGUUAUAGACAUGGCUCGGAUCUGGCAUUGCUAUGGCUGUGGUGGAGGCGGGUGGCUACAGCUCUGAUUUGACCCCUAGCCUGGGAACUUUCAUAUGCCUCCGGUGCAGUUAAAAAGACAAAAAAAAAGGGGGGGGGGAUGUAAUGCUUUCCUUUAAUUGAGCAUUGAUGGAGCACUUUGUUUAGAUGGAGCAGGGGAGUCCAGGAAGCUGUGUUACUUCUUUUUUUUUUUUUUUUUUUUUUUUUUUUUUUUUGUCUUUUUGCUAUUUCUUGGGCCGCUCCCAUGGCAUAUGGAGGUUCCCAGGCUAGGGGUCCAAUUGGAGCUCUAGCUACCGGCCCACGCCACAGCCACAGCAAUGCAGGAUCCGAGCCGCAUCUGCAACCUACACCACAGCUCAUGGCAACGCCGGAUCGUUAACCCACUGAGCAAGGGCAGGGACCGAACCCGCAACCUUAUGGUUCCCAGUCGGAUUCGUUAACCACUGCGCUAUGAUGGGAACUCCUGUGUUACUUCUAAAGAUGACGGCGACGCACGCCCAAACGCGCAUGUGGCUGGACUGGCCGUGACCACAGGCUGGGCAGACUCCGAGGGUGCCGUACACAGGUCUGGAGAUGGGGACAUUCUAGCUGCCUGCAGCCCAGGUGGGCUUAAUAUAAUCAGGGGGGCCUUAGAGGGAGGAAGAGAGAGGUAGAGGGGUCAGAAAAGGAGAUGAGAUGAUGGAAACUGGGGUCAGAGUGAUGCAACUGCUGGUCCAAAGGCCAUGAGCAGGCACGGAACACAGGUGGCCUUUAGAGGCUGGAGAAGGUAAGGAACCAGAUUCUUCCCUAGGUCGUCCGGAGAGAAUACGCCCUGACAACACCUUGAAUUUAGCCCAGGGAAGCCCAAUUCAGACUCACAACCUCAAAAAUAAAUUUGUUUUGUUUUAAGCCAC